UGGGGAAUAUUGCACAAUGGGGGAAACCCUGAUGCAGCGACGCCGCGUGGAGGAAGAAGGUCUUCGGAUUGUAAACUCCUGUUGUUGGGGAAGAUAAUGACGGUACCCAACAAGGAAGUGACGGCUAACUACGUGCCAGCAGCCGCGGUAAAACGUAGGUCACAAGCGUUGUCCGGAAUUACUGGGUGUAAAGGGAGCGCAGGCGGGAAGACAAGUUGGAAGUGAAAUCUAUGGGCUCAACCCAUAAACUGCUUUCAAAACUGUUUUUCUUGAGUAGUGCAGAGGUAGGCGGAAUUCCCGGUGUAGCGGUGGAAUGCGUAGAUAUCGGGAGGAACACCAGUGGCGAAGGCGGCCUACUGGGCACCAACUGACGCUGAGGCUCGAAAGUGUGGGUAGCAAACAGGAUUAGAUACCCUGGUAGUCCACACCGUAAACGAUGAUUACUAGGUGUUGGAGGAUUGACCCCUUCAGUGCCGCAGUUAACACAAUAAGUAAUCCACCUGGGGAGUACGACCGCAAGGUUGAAACUCAAAGGAAUUGACGGGGGCCCGCACAAGCAGUGGAGUAUGUGGUUUAAUUCGACGCAACGCGAAGAACCUUACCAAGUCUUGACAUCCCUUGACGAACAUAGAAAUAUGUAUUCUCUUCGGAGCAAGGAGACAGGUGGUGCAUGGUUGUCGUCAGCUCGUGUCGUGAGAUGUUGGGUUAAGUCCCGCAACGAGCGCAACCCUUAUGGUCAGUUACUACGCAAGAGGACUCUGGCCAGACUGCCGUUGACAAAACGGAGGAAGGUGGGGAUGACGUCAAAUCAUCAUGCCCUUUAUGACUUGGGCUACACACGUACUACAAUGGCGUUAAACAAAGAGAAGCAAGACCGCGAGGUGGAGCAAAACUCAGAAACAACGUCCCAGUUCGGACUGCAGGCUGCAACUCGCCUGCACGAAGUCGGAAUUGCUAGUAAUCGCGAAUCAGCAUGUCGCGGUGAAUACGUUCCC
Molecule: ribosomal RNA, 995 nt
Filed under: uncultured bacterium
Lineage: Bacteria
Description: bacterial SSU rRNA
Rfam family: Bacterial small subunit ribosomal RNA
Source: RNAcentral